GCCGCUGUGGCGGAAUUGGCAGACGCAAGGGACUUAAAAUCCCUCGCUGGUUUACAGCGUACCGGUUCAAGCCCGGUCAGCGGCACCA
This 88-nucleotide transfer RNA is filed under the name Clostridiales bacterium. RNAcentral's name for it is "tRNA-Leu". It matches the Rfam family "tRNA". From Rfam's summary of the family: Transfer RNA (tRNA) molecules are approximately 80 nucleotides in length. Lineage: Bacteria; Bacillati; Bacillota; Clostridia; Eubacteriales. RNAcentral also lists the same sequence under 4 other names. The record is from RNAcentral.